CCAGGGGACAUCUUGCAUUUUAAUUAGUGCCAGACACCGUUUCUGUCUGGAGUUCGUAAAAAUUUCAUCAAAGGAGGAUUUUCUCGGUGAAAAGUUGAGAUACGGAGGGACCGGAUAGAUCAGAGACUGAAAUAUUCAGUCGGGAAACUAUGCCUCCCCCGAUUAUCGAUCAAAUCGACUCCACGGCCUCGAAAAAAAAAAAAUCGAUCAAUCACAUGUCGCCGGAAUGGAAAAGACUGUAAAAGCUUCCGCUCCAGCAAAUGCGUUGAAGACGAUACACAAACUGGAGAGAGAGAAAAAAAAAAGGAGGACAGAGCGAAGAGAUUGGACAAACAUCCGGUUCUAAUGUACUUCCGGCUGAUGAAAGGGGUGAAUGUUAUCCAAAUCUCCUGGCUCGAUGUCCACAGGGAGUCACCCCUUUUCUAAGUCUCUUCCCUGUCUUGGAAAAUUGCAUGUACCCGGUGCUGUGACAGCUGGAGAUGACUCCUUGGAGAUCGCCAAGGAUUCUUCAGGAAUAAUUGGUACCCAUUUCGUGAUUUAUACCUAAUGUUGUAGUUUCCCGUCGGAGGGAUAACUCCGGAGGAAAAUCGCGGCUUAAUCACGGGAGCAAUCUCCUUGUUUUUGGCGAAUGCGAACAACAAUCGGAGAUAAUACAGCGAUUUCUGGUUUUUAUCAAUUUGUUAAUCUGAUAAUUUAAUAUUGAUUUGAUAAUACAUUAAAUCAUUAAUUUUCAACUAUUUGGUAAAUCAGUCAAAGAUGAGAUUUUUUGUUAUCAUCGAUUUUUUCUAUUUCAUUUUUUAUAAUGCAAUUAAA
Molecule: long non-coding RNA, 813 nt
Organism: Fopius arisanus
Lineage: Eukaryota; Metazoa; Arthropoda; Insecta; Hymenoptera; Braconidae
Exons: 3
Source: RefSeq, a predicted model, not a curated record